AUUGAACGCUGGCGGAAUGCUUUACACAUGCAAGUCGAACGGCAGCACGGACUUCGGUCUGGUGGCGAGUGGCGAACGGGUGAGUAACAUAUCGGAACGUAUCCAAUAAUGGGGGAUAACGAGUCGAAAGAUUCGCUAAUACCGCAUACGCCCUACGGGGGAAAGCUGGGGACCUUCGGGCCUGGCGUUAAUGGAGCGGCCGAUAUCUGAUUAGCUAGUGGGUGAGGUAAAGGCUCACCAAGGCGACGAUCAGUAUCUGGUCUGAGGGGACGGCCAGCAACACUGGAACUGAGACACGGUCCAGACUCCUACGGGAGGCAGCAGUGGGGAAUUUUGGACAAUGGGAGCAAGCCUGACUCAGCCAUGCCGCGUGAGUAAAAGAGGCCUUCGGGUUGUAAAGCUCUUUCGCAAGGGAAGAAAACUUAGCCACUAACAUUGGUUGAGGUUGACGGUACCUUGAUAAGAAGCACCGGCUAACUACGUGCCAGCCGCCGCCGUAA
This 500-nucleotide ribosomal RNA is filed under the name uncultured bacterium. RNAcentral describes it as "partial 16S ribosomal RNA". It matches the Rfam family "Bacterial small subunit ribosomal RNA", at positions 30 to 523 of the family's 1533-position model. The record is from RNAcentral.